GGUCAAGUUAUUAAGGGUGCAGGGCGGAUGCCUUGGCACUAGGAGCCGAUGAAGGACGUGAUAAGCUGCGAUAAGCUUCGGGGAGUUGCACGUAAACUUUGAUCCGAAGAUUUCCGAAUGAGGAAACUCACUUAGAGUAAUGUCUAAGUAUCAUUAAGUGAAUACAUAGCUUAAUGAGGGGAACUCAGGGAACUGAAACAUCUAAGUACCUGAAGGAAGAGAAAGAAAUUCGAUUCCGUAAGUAGCGGCGAGCGAACGCGGAUUAGCCCAAACCAAUAAAGUUUUCUUUAUUGGGGUUGCGGACAUAUCAUAACGAAGAGGUAUCGUAAUUGAAGAGGUUUGGAAAGACCCACCACAGAAGGUAAUAGUCCUGUAUGUUAAACGAGAAGACUUUAGAUAUGAUCCAGAGUACCACGGGACACGUGAAACCCUGUGGGAAGCAGGAGGGACCACCCUCCAAGGCUAAAUACUACCUAGUGACCGAUAGCGUAUAGUACCGUGAGGGAAAGGUGAAAAGAACCCCGGGAGGGGAGUGAAAUAGAACCUGAAACCCUGCACUUACAAGCUGUGGAAGCACAUUUCUUGUGUGACCGCGUACUUUUUGUAGAACGGGCCAACGAGUUACGUUAAGUAGCAAGGUUAAGCACUUAAGGUGCGGAGCCGUAGCGAAAGCGAGUUUUAACUGAGCGUUCAGUUACUUGACGUAGACCCGAAACCGGGCGACCUACCCAUGAGCAGGAUGAAGCGAAAGUAAAAUUUCGUGGAGGUCCGAACCCACGAGCGUUGAAAAGCUCGGGGAUGACUUGUGGGUAGCGGUGAAAUUCCAAUCGAGCCCGGAGAUAGCUGGUUCUCCCCGAAAUAGCUUUAGGGCUAGCCUCAAGGUGAGAGAUACGGAGGUAGAGCACUGAAUGUCCUAGGGGGUAUUGCACCUACCGAAGACUAUCAAACUCCGAAUGCCGUCAUCUUAUACUUGGGAGUCAGACUGUGGGUGAUAAGAUUCAUAGUCGAAAGGGCAACAGCCCAGAUCGUCAGCUAAGGUCCCUAAAUGUAAGUUAAGUGGUAAAGGAUGUGGGAUUGCACAGACAACCAGGAUGUUGGCUUAGAAGCAGCCACUCAUUCAAAGAGUGCGUAAUAGCUCACUGGUCGAGUGAUCCUGCGCCGAAGAUUUCCGGGGCUAAAACUUACUACCGAAGCUACGGCAUCAGUAAUGAUGGGUAGGGGAGCUUCCCAUACGGGUUGAAGCAUGACCGUAAGGACAUGUGGACAGUAUGGGAGUGAGAAUGUUGGCAUGAGUAGCGAGAUGUGGGUGAGAAUCCCACAGGCCGUAAACCCAAG
Molecule: ribosomal RNA, 1335 nt
Filed under: Clostridioides difficile
Lineage: Bacteria; Bacillati; Bacillota; Clostridia; Peptostreptococcales; Peptostreptococcaceae
Description: partial 23S ribosomal RNA
Rfam family: Bacterial large subunit ribosomal RNA
Source: RNAcentral